AAGAGAGAGUGUUUUGUUGGAAUAUUACUGGCGCCAUCUCUCACCGCGCCAGGAGCUUUGCAGCGCCAGACGGCCCCGCUCCACACCACAAUAUUCUUCCUUGGAACCUGCGGGCUCCGCUGAGCCGCUGCGUGAUCUUCUAUUCGCGACUCUGUCGCGCCGGCUAAGCGAGUACCCGGUGAAGGCGAGCGCAACGAGCCCUAGCACAUGGCAUCCA
Long non-coding RNA from Setaria italica (foxtail millet), 217 nucleotides. RefSeq lists it as uncharacterized. The record is from RefSeq and is a predicted model, not a curated record. The transcript is spliced from 3 exons. Lineage: Eukaryota; Viridiplantae; Streptophyta; Magnoliopsida; Poales; Poaceae.